Pogoniulus pusillus (Red-fronted tinkerbird) is the source of this 3389-nucleotide long non-coding RNA. RefSeq lists it as uncharacterized. The transcript has 3 exons. The record is from RefSeq and is a predicted model, not a curated record. NCBI's taxonomy places the organism in Eukaryota, Metazoa, Chordata, Aves, Piciformes, Lybiidae.
CCUUGCCCACUAGGCUUCACCAUGCCAUCAGGCUCUACACCGACGUACAGGCAAAAAGCUGUAGGUCUUCUCUCCAAAAAGCCGAUUGGCAAGCCGCAAGAGGUAGGGAGCAUUGCUUCUGUUCACAUCCAUCGUCAGAGUCCGAAAUCUUGAAUGGACAUCUUCAACUUUGUCAAAAUGAAGUGUCUGAAAGAAAAGAAGCAAAUUAGCUGCUGCUAAUACUGUCUUAACAUGUGGUGCUCCUUUGGGUGUGUCUGAUCCAGCAGGCAGGCAGGCUGAAGAAGAGGAGGCUGGAAGAUGCUCAGAGGCUUCUGUAAGCCUCCAAGAAUGAAUGGCACUGUUUCUUGGUGCUGUACUGCCUACAUUCAUCUCUUGUGUUAACUCCUGGGUUAUAUGUACUCAUAGCUGAAGCUGUUGGUCAUAACCCUCUCUUUUCAGAGAAUAAAAUCAAAACUAGCUUAGGUGAGCUCUUAAUAAAUCUGAGACCAAUUUAUCUUUUACAGUUGUAUGAAAACAAAGCUGCUUGGCUAUAUGCAAACCCAGCAUCAUCUUAAAAAACAAAUGUUUUAGUGCAAUUUCUCUUUCCCAAAAGGCAAAUGAGCUGGUCAAGGCUCACAGAUGGAACAGCCAGACCUCACAGACACGAAGGCCAGACCAAAGCAAGGACAUCCCCAUGCAAACUGAAGUCAUGUGUUUCUCAGUAGGGAAGUGCUGUGAAACACCCCCUGGAUUAAAAGGAAAAUCCUUGGUUUAUCUCACUACUUUUUUUGCUCAGGACUUGCUGCCUGCCCAUAUUAAGGCACAUGUGAACAAAAACAUCACAGAGCACAAACCUCAGAGAAGCAACUUAAAACAGGCUUACAGAAACAGAUUUCUAUGUAUGCUUGCAUGGAGCCCUUAACAGUCAACAAUCACUGCCUCCUUAAUUACUUACCUUGUCCUAAGCAAAGCAUUUUGGUAUGGGAACAUGGAUUAUUGAAGGUGACUGUGUUGAAACACUCCCUCUCCUUCCCCCUCCCCGAGUUCCUUUUGCAAGAUUUGUGCUGUCAGUAGGUUUAUCCUGGGUGGGGCUGUCAGUACAAUUACAUGAGAUUUCUGUUCGAGGUUUGUUUGUACAAGUAGUGAGAAAAUAAUUUUAUUGUCUUAUUCAGAAAGGACAGGAUCAGUCAACCACUCCUCAUAUAGUCCAGGAUACAAAGGUGAAAUUAUUCAUAGACAAAUAUGUGAUGGUGACUGCAAUGGGAAGUCUUACAACACCUUUCUGCAUGAACCUAACAAAAGGAAACAAUAAGUGACCAAGGGCCCUCCACAGAGGAAGCUUCAGGACACACUCCUGUCUUCACCACUUGUGCAACGUCUAAUGAGGGUUUUCAAACUAUGCUACUUAACUACCUAAGGCUAUGGUGAAAAUAAGCACCUGGACUCAGCUCCUUCAAGAUAGCUGCAACUAAGAUGCAAAUACUUAGGUACCAUCAUCAUGGAUUAUCACAGUGGUUGUGCUUUAAAACUGUAGAUGACUACUGUGUUCCUUUAAAAGAUACAUCAUAUUAGCAACAAGUAUGACACUGGUGACCUGGUAUUACAAAACAAUGGUUCCUUUAUCAGAACGUCUCACAGAAACUAGUAAAGCUUUGGCUGCUGGAAACUCCCAUCAUUUUAGAUGGGAGACUGACAAAUCAAUUAACUUAGUUUCCUACUGAAAGGAUUAGCAAGUGAAAAUAAUUGAGAAACAGUGCCCAGCACAAAUAUGGGCAGAGGCCUCUGGAGCAGAGCAGGCAGAAGGCAACUGCAGAAAGAAGCCUGAGGAAGCCUCACUGUGCAUGAUGGAAAUCUCCUUUUGAGCACAUAAAAUUAACAUCCUCCUUCCAUUUUCCCUUCUCUAAAACAUAACAACUUUUAAUGUGCAAAAGUGAGUUUUCAUUUCUUUUGACUAACCUUCAGCAUCUGUGACUCGGUGUUACCUUUGGCCCCUAAAAGGACCAUGGCCAGAGCAGCAGAAACGCUGAGAGGAGAGUAGAAGAGGUUUCCUGUUGGGUUGGUCUCAUUAAACCUUCUGAACAGGUCAAGUGCAAAUCUGCUGUUGGCAUUACUCAGGUUCUCCAUGAUUACAGCUGAAAAAUACAUUGGUCAGUUCAGGACUUCAGGAAGACAUAAGCCUGUGUGACCGAGAGUGAAUAGGAUCAAUCUGAGUGCAGCUGGGUAGAGAGACAGCAAGAAUUCCAUUGCCAGUGCAACGUCUUCACAUGAAACAGUCAGUCACAGUGAAAAAGAAGUAUUCUUUCCAACGUAAAUUGCAUCUCUCGACCUCCCCCAUCACACUAACUUUAAAGGCAUUGUUUUUUAAAGAAGCUUUCCUUCUGACUUGAAAUUGGAGGUAGGUGUGCUGGCAGAGCUCACAGACCAGCACACCCCAGGGUGCCCAGCACAGCUUUCCCCUCCACUUUUCUGCCGGACUUCUCCAUAGAGGACCCUGACAGUAACUGUUCAGGGAGAUGCAGACACCUUUCAGCAAGCUGCCUGUCCUCACAGCACAGGUGUCAAACUCCUGACAAAGGCUGAGGCUCACUGCUACCUUCGGCACCACUGUCUCAGCAGCCAGCAAGGUUCUGGCAUGCUGCAGCCUGGCACAGAAUCCCAGCCAGGCUGAGCAGCCCUAAAUGCAGGGCCAGAGCCCGGGAUUUUGUUAGCCAGAAAGGCUAAAUUGAGGAGCACAGCACACAGAGCCUCAGGGCUGAUGCUGCACCCAGAACACAAAUUCCUUUGGGACAGAUGCUCCUGAGAGGUCCCAGAAGUGGGAUGGAAGGGGCAAGGUCUGGGUCAGGUACACAAUGUCACCCAAGGCCUGUCAGAAGCACUGCUUGAUGCUAAAAAUGUUUUCCUGCUCGCCCAGUUCUGAUUCCUGCUUCUCUUUGCUUGCCUGCAGCCGGCCUCCUGGUUCUUGCCUCAGGCAGCUGGAUGUGCCCAUCUGCCGUCAGCAAGCAGGCCAGCGGCCCAGCGAGUUACAGCUGCUGUCCCAAGCCAGCCGCCUGGAGGAGCCCGCACCAAAGCUGCUUAUUUCCAAAGGGGUCUUCCUACAGCAAGGCCAAAGGAACGCAUUCUGCUGCCGCUGCCGGACAGUCGCGCUUUCGUUGUCUUCACCCGAGACAGCAUGAGGCAGUCUGGCGCCCUUUGGACCAUGGCCACCGAACCGUGAUUCAGAGCUGAGCACAAGAGGUAGCAUUGCCAUGCUGCCCAGAAACAAACACCUGGCUCAGGACCCCCUGCUGCAAGUCCUUUCCAAGGCCAACGCCAAACUCCACGGGAACCCAGAGUAUUGUUAACACUUCAGCACAUCAUACCUCGCUGAUGUGGAAUGGCAUUUCUACUGUUUUCUCUUUGCUGAACUCCUU